RNAcentral lists this long non-coding RNA (2044 nucleotides) under Daphnia magna. RNAcentral describes it as "uncharacterized LOC116934553, transcript variant X4". The record is from RNAcentral. Lineage: Eukaryota; Metazoa; Arthropoda; Branchiopoda; Diplostraca; Daphniidae.
AGGUCAUAAAGGGUCCCCAUCAAACCCAAUAAUUAUGGUCAACGUUCGUUCCUGUUCGCUUGUCCCGCCUUCCAUUCCACUACAAAGUGCAAACUGUGGUAAUAAAAACAGAAUAGGGCGAACGAGUGAAAGGAAUGACUACGAUAAAUCCGUUUCUGCUUCGUUCGUGACUGGACCCCAUUAAAAUCAAGCAACCGGCUGAGCUCCUUUAUAAGCGUAAACACACUUCAUUGCGCAGCCGGUAAUGCAUUUACAACCUCGGUGAGCUCCAUCGCAGCACCUCGUUAAAAAUUAACGAGCUCAUUGCAUGACACUAGCGUCUUCUAAAAUAACUUUGUCCUAUAAAAAGAUCAAAAGCAAUGGGCAUUUUUAUUGGUAAGAUGGAUGCAUGGUACUCCCGUAUCGGGAAUGGAAAAAGGUAUACGUAUUGAAAGUGAAAUGCACAAGAGCAUCGGAUGCUGUCAUCCCAAAAUACGAAUGGACUAAGUGACAAGACAGUCGCAAGUCGGUCGCAUAUGCAAAGUGAUUCAAUUUCGCCACCACUUUUUAUCCGGUCACCAUCGUAGCUGAAAGUGCGACAGAUGUUAAGCAAAGUUUGACGAGGUGACGUGAAGAAAAGUUUGAAAAGCAAAGGCGUUAGCAACUAGUAGAAAACAGAAUAAAAGAACUAUGGAAAAAGGUCUCAUCACGAAGUUUGCAGUUUUCGUCGUUCCAUUUGUUUCUUCUUUGUGGAGUCUUUUAAUUCGAGUCCGUUUGAGCAAUGCCACCAGGAUGCAAGAAGACAAACCACUUGACAAGACGUUGCAUCUUGUGCUGGUGGGACUAGCUACUUAAAUCUAUGCACAAUUUGGGGAGCUUCAGUAUCCCAGCGACAACUGGACAGUGGACUGCCGUUGUACAGAACAUCAUCCAUAGCCGCAUCAGCCUGUUGUAGUUUUUGUUGUCAUAAACGUGAGCAAGCCCAUCACGAUAAUGAAGAGAGAGGGAGAGAGUGUCCAGGACGGAGGCGGAAUAUAACCUUGGAUGUACAGAGGAAAGGACAGACGGACAUCAGCUGGUCUAAUGCCAAACUUUGGAUAGCCCUAUACAUGACAAAACCAAGACUGCAAGUCUACAAGCUGUGAUCCAUCAUUGCACUGGAUGAGAAGAUUCAAAUGGAAGUAAGAGAGGGAGCUCGAGAAAAUACGAUGAAAAUCGGACAGAACAGAACGACCGGAGGGCAGCUGAAGUCAUUCAACAACAGUCAGAAAGGGAAACAGAACCACUUUUACUACUCUUCGACGGGCAAGACAAGCAAGACAAGCAAGGCCGAAGGGUAAACGACGAACGAGCGGCUGUCAUGACAACGGUGUCGAUGUCGUGCAAUGAUAAGGGUGGGCGUUGGGGAGACGUGAUCGCUGUUGGCUACAGCCCGUGGAAAUAAUAGACAACACACUACAUAUGCUAUAAUUCUUCUAACAAACAAACAACGCCACUUUACUUGAUGAAAUGAGUCAGCGCUCAUUCGCCGCCCUCUGGUGGAUAACAUGCGUCAACCACCAGAAUAUUGUCGAUUUCGGCCUUUGGAAUAUUUUUGGUGGUUUUAUUGACUCUCUCCUCACCAUAAAUGGUAGAACACGCCCUAAACUAUGGAACUUUAUUUUUGUGCUGGCUACAUGCAAGGUGAUUUCGUUUUCUUGUUUUGUUCCUUGAUUGCGGUCGGUAAAUCAGACAAAAUGUGCUACAAUAGUCACAGUUUUUACAUCAAAUUUUAGAUGGGUUAGUGAGAUUGAUCGUCGAGGUUCAGUCAUGGCACUAAUGUGUAGAGGGAAUUUGCAAUACCUUUCCCGUAGAUGAUGAUCCAUCAUGGCCGACAUUUGCACUCCCUUCCUCUUAUAUCGUAUAUUGUUUUCUACCUACUAUUUGUGAAAUUAGGCUAUCGUCAGAAAGAAAAAUUCGAUUUGAUGAAACAGUCAAUAGUUUGAGUAACAAAAUUUGCAUUAUUUUCUUGCCUAUAGCUUUAGGUUGACGUAAAAAAGAAAAAAAAAAGGCAAACACUUCUGUG